This 102-nucleotide transfer RNA is filed under the name Mycobacterium kubicae. RNAcentral's name for it is "tRNA-His". Lineage: Bacteria; Bacillati; Actinomycetota; Actinomycetes; Mycobacteriales; Mycobacteriaceae. The record is from RNAcentral.
UGGGCAUGGGGGAGCCGCUGGCCAACUACGCCCGCGUGGUGGCCGCGGUGCGGCGCAUCACCGAGGCGCCGCCGUCGGGUUUCGGAAUCUCGGCGCGUUCGG